Molecule: transfer RNA, 72 nt
Filed under: Planctomycetota bacterium
Lineage: Bacteria; Pseudomonadati; Planctomycetota
Description: tRNA-Glu
Rfam family: tRNA
About the family: Transfer RNA (tRNA) molecules are approximately 80 nucleotides in length.
Source: RNAcentral
GGCCCGUUGGUGCAGAGGUAGUCACGCCGCACUUUCCAUGCGGAGACGCGGGUUCGAUUCCCGCACGGGUCA